Molecule: non-coding RNA, 1903 nt
Organism: Misgurnus anguillicaudatus (oriental weatherfish)
Lineage: Eukaryota; Metazoa; Chordata; Actinopteri; Cypriniformes; Cobitidae
Source: RefSeq, a predicted model, not a curated record
AAACCUAAAUAAGAUAUUUUUCCCAUUUUAUUUCCCCUUUGUUCGUUAUUUGGUUCAGUUUAAUCAGAGCUACCUUGUGUUACGUUGUUCCCUUGUUAGUUUAGUAUAAAGUUAAACUGCUAGCUAAAAGUUUUAACCAAGAAGGAUAAUAUUAACAGGAGAUAUGAAUGAAAGAAUUGAACCUUGAUAAAACGCGACAUGCACUACAAAUUGAAGGUAUGAAAUUAAGUUAAAUGGAAGCUCGUUUAUUCACCAUAUGAUGCUCGUUAUGAGGUAAUCAGAUACCGUGAGUUAACGAGGUCGUUUACAUGCACGCGAGUGCACGGAUAUCGGUUAAUUAUUCAAAUUACUGAAAAACACGGAGAAAACCGCAACCGCAUUGCCAUGUGUUUUUCCAAGAUGUAUGCAAACAGGGAAAAUAUCACCAAACCAACAAUUCAUUUUACCAAAACCUCACUAUAUAUCAUCAUUUGUAUGCACAGAUUGCUGGAUUGGAUGCAUUGUGUGUUAUGCUAGUUUGGUGAAAGUACACACUGAGUGCUUCAAAUCAUUCAGAAGAGAUGCUGUUUUUAAGGGCAGUUUAUUAAAGAAGACCUGACAUGGAUGACUUCCAAUGAGAAACGACUGCUAAUACUUAUAUAAAUUCAUUACAGAAGGACCCUACCAGACUAUAUUUGAAUACGGCAUACCCAUGAAUUCUGGAACUGUUAUUCCUUAACCCAGUUUGGAGGAUAAGAGCUUACCAACUAGUUAUAAAUAUGCUGAGGCGAUGUAUUGCAAAAUAGCCAACAUACAACAAUUAAAGGAUAAUUGCAGACUAUAUCCUGAUGAAGAUAUGGAUGACCCUCUGUCUGGUCAACAAUAGUUAAAAUAUGGACGGGACAGUUAUGUGGCAGCUCUUCCCUGACUCAUUCAGCUCUUGCCUUCAUUUGUGAAAGGAAAAAAGACUGGAGAGGGUCAAUGUGCAACUGAAGCUUCUGAUUGUGCUGUGUGAUGAGCAUCAAUCCAUGCUUUGAGGGGGAUGAAUCAGCACAGCUCUGCCUGCUCUGCGUUGGGAACAAAAGUUGCAUCCAGAAUUUUUGCAUCAUUCUGGACCAAAAUGCCAUUCCCUGCAUGAUGAAGACCACUGAUGCAGCCUUCCACUACUGUACAUCAUGAGUAAAACAACUACAGAACUAAAUACCAGGUUGGAACGUAUUUAAGAAAAAUGAAAAGUCUUUUGAAUUGAAAUGUCUGUUUUGUUAUGGAAAAAUCUUUAGUAUUGUGAAGGAUAAGCAUUUCUGCCUGCCAGUAAGGUAAUUGCAGUGUAUUUUAAUAGUCAAGUUUUGAGUAGGGUGGCAAAUUUUUUUUUUUAACUCUCAUUUGAUUUAUUUAAGACCUUAUAAUAAGUGGUUUUCAUGUCACUGCGCUGUGGUAUAAGAUAACUUUCAUUAUUCCAUAUUGUAUUCUGUGUCUAAUUGUAGCUGAGGUAUUUAAAUAAGCAGUGUUAAAUGCAAAGUGUUGUGUGUAUCAAUGUAAAUAUUAAAUGUGAUGUACUUUAAUAAAAAGAGGUUUUGCAAUAUUUCUUGUCAUUUGUCUUUUAUAGAAACAACCCAUUAGCAAAAAAAGUGGCUAUUAAUCAGUAUUUUAACACUUAACAUUGUUGAAUUCACAUUACACUGGUGUUGACCUUAAAUUAGGAGUGUUAAUUUUUAACACUGUAUUUCUGUGCCAACACCAGUGUAGUGUGGAAACAACAAUGAAUAGUGUUGAACAAAGUGUAAAAUUUAACAAUAUUGAGUGUUGAAUUAACAUAUAAUGGGUGUUGGCAAAUUAACACUACACUUUUGACUAAAUUAACACAGUGUAGUGUGGACACAUAUACACACUUUGCCAGUGUUAAAUUUGACACCGUGGGUGUUAU